ACUCUCUCAGGGUCGCACCUGGAGAGUUUCUAGUACUCUACCAGCCUCAGCUACGGAAGGGAGAGUCAAGCAGAGGCAUUCUCAUUCUAUUCCUACCUUGGGCCAUGGCUAGUGAAUGGAAGGCAAUCUGCUACAAAU
Ornithorhynchus anatinus (platypus) is the source of this 138-nucleotide small nucleolar RNA. The record is from RefSeq and is a predicted model, not a curated record. Lineage: Eukaryota; Metazoa; Chordata; Mammalia; Monotremata; Ornithorhynchidae.